Molecule: ribosomal RNA, 690 nt
Filed under: uncultured Bacteroidales bacterium
Lineage: Bacteria; Pseudomonadati; Bacteroidota; Bacteroidia; Bacteroidales
Description: bacterial SSU rRNA
Rfam family: Bacterial small subunit ribosomal RNA
Source: RNAcentral
UAGCUACAGGCUUAACACAUGCAAGUCGAGGGGCAGCAUGGUCUUAGCUUGCUAAGGCCGAUGGCGACCGGCGCACGGGUGAGUAACACGUAUCCAACCUGCCGUCUACUCUUGGACAGCCUUCUGAAAGGAAGAUUAAUACAAGAUGGCAUCAUGAGUCCGCAUGUUCACAUGAUUAAAGGUAUUCCGGUAGACGAUGGGGAUGCGUUCCAUUAGAUAGUAGGCGGGGUAACGGCCCACCUAGUCUUCGAUGGAUAGGGGUUCUGAGAGGAAGGUCCCCCACAUUGGAACUGAGACACGGUCCAAACUCCUACGGGAGGCAGCAGUGAGGAAUAUUGGUCAAUGGGCGCAGGCCUGAACCAGCCAAGUAGCGUGAAGGAUGACUGCCCUAUGGGUUGUAAACUUCUUUUAUAAAGGAAUAAAGUCGGGUAUGGAUACCCGUUUGCAUGUACUUUAUGAAUAAGGAUCGGCUAACUCCGUGCCAGCAGCCGCGGUAAUACGGAGGAUCCGAGCGUUAUCCGGAUUUAUUGGGUUUAAAGGGAGCGUAGAUGGAUGUUUAAGUCAGUUGUGAAAGUUUGCGGCUCAACCGUAAAAUUGCAGUUGAUACUGGAUAUCUUGAGUGCAGUUGAGGCAGGCGGAAUUCGUGGUGUAGCGGUGAAAUGCUUAGAUAUCACGAAGAACUCCGAUUGC